Molecule: long non-coding RNA, 1193 nt
Filed under: Homo sapiens (human)
Lineage: Eukaryota; Metazoa; Chordata; Mammalia; Primates; Hominidae
Description: ZNF710 antisense RNA 1 (ZNF710-AS1)
Source: RNAcentral
UUUGCAGUCACCUCACUAAAGAAUAUUCAUUUAUUUAUAAUUAUUGCUAAGUAAACUUCUCUUUUAAACAGGAACAUAAAAACACAGUAGGGCUUUGCACAAGUGGAAUCUCUAAACAGUUGGUUUGUAUACAUGUCAAAAUAAGUUAGAAUGGAAUUUGUCCAGGAGUUUCCAAGUCACCCGAGAGGCUGUGCACCUCUUUUGAGAAGGUUAGGGAGGGGUACAGACAGGAGCCUUGCCAAGACCACCCCCCAGCUCAAACUGUGAGUUGUGCUGUUUCCUCCUCCUAGCUUUGCCCAGGUCCAAGGCACAGGGCAGGGGGCGUUCAAGUAUCGAACCUCACAGAGGGCCAGUGCUGACGGCGGGGCUGGGGGAGGGAAAGGAGAGCCCCACCCUGGGGGCCAGACCUUCUCCCUUCAGUUUCCAAGACCAAGGCCACUGCACUGGCAGGAGGGAGGAGGAGGAGGAGAGGUACAGGGUUCUUUUUGGUACCAGGGGAGAAAGACGUGGGAAGAGGUAGUUGCAGGGGAUGAUGCCUUCUGCUCAGCAGGAGAAAAUGUCUUAUACAGUGACGGGGUCACUGCCACCUGAGGGUCAUCAUGGCGGGCACCUGGGAGGUCGUGGGGCUUCGGGGUCUGGAAGCCAUACUUGGGCCACCUUGUCCACCCCUCAGUCCUGAUCACAGUCACCCUGAGGCCUGGCUUGGUCCUUCACUUAAGGAUCCAGCCUUGGGGGUGGCUGCGCUGCAGAUUGGUUCCUCCCACCGCAGGCACUUGUGAAGAGUGUGACUGAUUGACACUUUUUUGCCUUGGUUGCUGGGAAGCUCAGAUCUCCCCUCUGCAUGUCCCUUGCUUAGGACCUCCCAUGGUGUACUUGGAGUUGGGACCUCACCUGGCUCUCCCUUAUCUUUCCGGCUGCCAUUUUUUCCCCUUUCUAACUUUCUUUCCCAUACACUUAUUUGAAAUAUUAUCUCACGGUAACGAAAUAAAGUGUCUGUCACCUCCUGCUGUGUUGUCAUCUUGCAUGAGCUAUCUAAGUUCUCUGUUCUUCAGUUUCUGCAUCUGUAAAACGAUGACAAUGACAGAGCCAACCUCGCUUUGAGGAUCACAUGAGUUAAUAAAGGCCUGGCACACAGUUAGCACUCAAUAAAUGUUAGUUAUGAUUUUUAUUAAAAAAAAAAAAAAAAAAAAAAA